Molecule: ribosomal RNA, 478 nt
Filed under: uncultured bacterium
Lineage: Bacteria
Description: bacterial SSU rRNA
Rfam family: Bacterial small subunit ribosomal RNA
Source: RNAcentral
AGCGGCAGGCUUAACACAUGCAAGUCGAGGGGUAACAGGGAGUGCUUGCACUCUGCUGACGACCGGCGCACGGGUGCGUAACGCGUAUGCAACCUACCUUUAACAGGAAGAUAGCCCCGAGAAAUCGGGAUUAAUACUCCAUAGUAUCAUAAUGUCGCAUGGCAUAAUGAUUAAAGUUUCGGCGGUUUAAAGAUGGGCAUGCGUUCCAUUAGCUAGAUGGUAGGGUAACGGCCUACCAUGGCGACGAUGGGUAGGGGGCGUGAGAGCGUGAUCCCCCACACGGGUACUGAGACACGGACCCGACUCCUACGGGAGGCAGCAGUAAGGAAUAUUGGUCAAUGGGCGAAAGCCUGAACCAGCCAUGCCGCGUGUGUGAUGAAUGCCCUUUGGGUUGUAAAGCACUUUUGUCUGGGAAGAAUGGCCGCCAUUUAUGGUGGAAGCGACGGUACCAGAAGAAUAAGCACCGGCUAACUCCGUG